This 253-nucleotide ribosomal RNA is filed under the name uncultured bacterium. Its description in RNAcentral is "partial 16S ribosomal RNA". It matches the Rfam family "Bacterial small subunit ribosomal RNA", at positions 524 to 776 of the family's 1533-position model. The record is from RNAcentral.
UACGUAGGGUGCGAGCGUUAAUCGGAAUUACUGGGCGUAAAGCGUGCGCAGGCGGUUUUGUAAGCCAGAGGUGAAAUCCCCGGGCUUAACCUGGGAAUGGCAUUUGGGACUGCAAGGCUUGAGUGCGGCAGAGGAGACUGGAAUUCCUGGUGUAGCAGUGAAAUGCGUAGAUAUCAGGAGGAACACCGAUGGCGAAGGCAGGUCUCUGGGCUGACACUGACGCUCAUGCACGAAAGCGUGAGGAGCAAACAGG